This 253-nucleotide ribosomal RNA is filed under the name uncultured bacterium. RNAcentral's name for it is "partial 16S ribosomal RNA". It matches the Rfam family "Bacterial small subunit ribosomal RNA", at positions 524 to 776 of the family's 1533-position model. The record is from RNAcentral.
UACGGAGGGUGCAAGCGUUAUCCGGAUUCACUGGGUUUAAAGGGUGUGUAGGCGGGUAUUUAAGUCAGUGGUGAAAUCCCGAGGCUCAACCUCGGAACUGCCAUUGAUACUAUUUAUCUUGAAUCUUGUUGAGGUGGGCGGAAUACAUCAUGUAGCGGUGAAAUGCUUAGAUAUGAUGUAGAACACCGAUUGCGAAGGCAGCUCACUAAGCAAGUAUUGACGCUGAGGCACGAAAGCGUGGGGAUCAAACAGG